GACGAACGCUGGCGGCGUGCUUAACACAUGCCGGUCGAACGGAAAGGCCCUGCUUUUGUGGGGUGCUCGAGUGGCGAACGGGUGAGUAACACGUGAGUAACCUGCCCUUGACUUUGGGAUAACUUCAGGAAACUGGGGCUAAUACCGGAUAGGAGCUCCUGCUGCAUGGUGGGGGUUGGAAAGUUUCGGCGGUUGGGGAUGGACUCGCGGCUUAUCAGCCUGUUGGUGGGGUAGUGGCUUACCAAGGCUUUGACGGGUAGCCGGCCUGAGAGGGUGACCGGCCACAUUGGGACUGAGAUACGGCCCAGACUCCUACGGGAGGCAGCAGUGGGGAAUAUUGCACAAUGGGCGGAAGCCUGAUGCAGCAACGCCGCGUGCGGGAUGACGGCCUUCGGGUUGUAAACCGCUUUCGCCUGUGACGAAGCGUGAGUGACGGUAAUGGGUAAAGAAGCACCGGCUAACUACGUG
RNAcentral lists this ribosomal RNA (468 nucleotides) under uncultured bacterium. Its description in RNAcentral is "partial 16S ribosomal RNA". It matches the Rfam family "Bacterial small subunit ribosomal RNA", at positions 28 to 507 of the family's 1533-position model. The record is from RNAcentral.